UAGGAUCCCCUCCCUCAGCCACUGACACACACACAUGCUCUCUCUGGCUCACACACACACACACACUCUGCUCCGUGAGGGAGCAGUCGCUGAAGAGCUCUGGAUAGACCAUGCGAGGUUCUGCAGGUGUCCCACCCUUCUCUCAUCACACAGAUGCUUUAGAAGUGUAUCCUGAAGCAGGAUGAACGAGCGGAGGGGGCAGAGGAGGAAAGAAGUCAUGCAACAAAGAUCCCAGGUUGACUCCAGAAGAGGAUGAGGUACAUGCAUGUGUUUGGUGGGGUCAAGGGCUGAGGGCUGGUGAGUGCUGACCUGAGCGAGAGGCCGGAUGACAUCUGAC
This is a long non-coding RNA of Eleginops maclovinus (Patagonian blennie), 337 nucleotides long. RefSeq lists it as uncharacterized. The transcript has 3 exons. The record is from RefSeq and is a predicted model, not a curated record. NCBI's taxonomy places the organism in Eukaryota, Metazoa, Chordata, Actinopteri, Perciformes, Eleginopidae.